CGUCUUUUCAACUCUCCUCCUUAAGGGAACCCCCCCUUCUUGCCAUAGCUUCUUGGUAGAAUGUUCUCAUGGCUUCAGCCAUGUGAACGUGUAUCCAGAACGGACAGGAGAACCCUCAGCCCCAUGAUCUUACAGACCCCCAGUGGGCAGGCACAAACCCACAGCUUCCAUGCCUUUUUCUUCCCUUUAUUUCCUGCUUUACCUCAAUUUAUGACUUGGCUUACAAUCUGUUGCAGAAAGGCCCAGUCCCCAGCUUCCUCCAGAAUCUACAUUUUUCUAUUUUGUCUGAAAUAGCCAGGGUCUCAGGAGUUUGCUGUUAUAUUGCUUCAGAGAAAUUAGUGACAUUGAAGGGUUCUCAUCUUUUUGUGUGUGAUUUUGGUUAUAACAAGAGAUUUAUAAAGCUGUUCUUUUUUUUCCCAUCUCUGAAGCUUAGGAGAUAAUAUUAGAAGAUAUUUGAUAGAAAAAUACCCAGGGUAGGGCUUUUUUCUAUGUCAUGUGUUCAAAUAAGUCAUUGCUGCCCAAACCAGGUGCCUUUUGUAGGAGAAAUUGAGAAUUCGGUUUGGACUGAUUUUUUUUUUUUUUCACUUGACUUUGUGUAGGACAUGGCAUAGAAAAAUAAUUUCAGUAGAUGCUGGUCUAGAUUCACCAGCCACCCAUAUACUGUUACAAUGAUGAGUAGUACUUGAUAGAAAUAUUGUUUUGGAAUUAAUUAAUUCUUUAGUAAUUAGUUAAAAAAAAAAAAAGGAAAAUUAAUGCAGCUGUGGUGCUUGAGUUCCUGUGUUAAGAAUUUUAUACCAUGAAGGUAUAGUGACAGUGAAAGUCAAAGAUCUAAAUAGAAGCAAGUGUGCAUUUUAAAGCUGGGACUGUUAUGUGCUGCCGCAUUUGUUUUUCAAUCAUUGCGUAACAAAUUGCCCCAAACUGAGUAGCUCAAGACAGCAUCCAUUCCUAGGUCACAGUCCUAUAGGUCAGGAAUCUGGACACACUGUGAUGGGCUUCUCUGCGCAGGAUCUCACAGGGGCAAGUUCAAGGUGUCAGCUGGGGCUCCGUUCCUUUCUGGAGGCGCUGGAGUGGAAGCCACCUCCAGGCUCCUUCCAGUUGUCGGCAGAAUUCAGGUCCUUGCAGUUGUGAGGUUGGAGCCUCUGUCUCCCAGUCAACUGCUGGCCAUUUCCAGCUCCUAGAGGCCACCUGUAUUCUUGCCACAGGACCCCCUCCACCCCCAAAGUCAUUAACAGAGACGCUUAUGCAUUGAAUCUUUUCAUGUUUCAAGUCUCUAUGACCGUCUUUGACUUUGACGUCUGUACCCAUAUUUAAAGGGCUCAUACGUUUAGACUGGUCUCCUUAUGUUAAGGCCAACUGAUUUGGGGGCUUAAUUAACUUUCUUCACAGACAUGCCCAGCUGAGUGAUUAACUGGGAAAGGCCAGGUGUACUCUGGGGGCAGGAAUCUUGGGAGCCAACUUAAUAUUCUGGCGACCAAAGCCACACUUUAAAAAAAACAAUAGCCGGAGUUCUUUCUGUGGUGCAGUGGGAUCAGGCACAGUGGGUUAAGGAUCCUUCAUUGCCACAGCUGCAGUGCAGGUUGCAACUGCGGCUUGAAUCUUAUCUCUGGCCCCAGAACUCCAUAUCCCACAGGGUGGCCAGAAAAGGGAAAGAAAAAACAAAACAGCAAACAAAGCCUAGACCUUUUUAGAGAUGUUUUCUGAGGCAGAAAGUUGAGUGUUAAAGACCAGGGGUAUCUAAAACCCACAGAAAGGAAGCCUAGGUAGAGCCUCCAGGAUAGAGUCAGAGAUCGGCUCUUGGGCACACAUGCCCUCCUUCCCCUGGGCCCCCGGUGUGGUAGGAUGGGGGUGGGGGGAAGGGGAUUGUCUGCAGCUUCAUGUUUCAGCAGGUGCAGCCGAGUCAAAAAAAAUUUGGUCUCUGUAAUGAACUGGCUCAGCUCCUCUUUCUGUGCUCGAGGGUCCGCACCCAGAAUGGGUUAAUAUUCGGGAUUCCCGUGACGGUGAAGCAGUGGUCCAUGGAAGUUCAGCUGUUAGACCUGUUCAGGUGCACCGUAGGCCUCCAGCCAGCAUCCCUCCCCCAUUCUUCUCUCUGGACGCAGUUGUCAAGUUAGAUUACUUGGUGAACCCUGGCUUUGGUCCUUGUGUCCUGGGAAUGAGAAGCUUCUCACCCUGUCCCAUCGAGGGUACCUAACAGGCAGAGGGAAGGAAGAGGGGCUUCCAGGAACCUGGGGGUGUGGCCUGGAGUCCCCACCCCACCCGUGAAAUUCUUCUGAAAUCUCUCUUCAUCUCAAAUCCCCCCACCCACCGCCCCAUACACGCAUUCCGCUCCCGAUUGAGCCAUGUGGUGUUAACCUAAGAACCAGGGCUCUGGUGAUGUACCGGCUCCGUUCACACCCCAGGGAUGCAUGUGUUUGCUUUCUGUUUCUGGUUCUCAGGCAUCAGGGCCAGGACGAGGCAAGCCAGACCCUCAGGGCUUCCACCGGAGGAGACACCCUCCGUCUGUCCAGCUUCUGGGCAAGCUUCCCACAGCUCCGUCACUGCAGACCCUUUGCCCUGAGUGUCGCCCCCCCGCCCCACCCUGGUCAUUUCUGCACACUGCAGUUGGAGCAGAGCUGUCAGGUGGCCAUACCACGUCCAACCUGCCUGCCUUUAGGCCAGUGUGCCCACUGAGCGGGCGAUGGUCCACUGAAGGGCUUGUGAGCCUGCAGGCCACGAGUCACCGUCCCUGCCACCAGGCAGACCACGUGGACGGGGGUGAUGCGCUCUCAGGUGUGGGAUCAGAAAAGCACGAGUGUGUCCCGCGCGGAGUCAUCGCAUCAUGCGGUUUAGUGACCGGGGAGAGAUGUCCGCUAAGGAGCUGGGCCACAACCAGUUAAUUCCAUCAGGGCGUCUUGAGCAAACUCCGCUCAGCAGCCCCACUGCUCUCCCUGCCGUGUGCCGCGCAGCUUCCUCUGAAAAGCAGUACAGAUGUUCUUUUUCCCCCUUCUUUCAUCCCUCCCCCCAUCUUUCUUUCUUUGCACCCACGGCGCUCUGCACUUCAAGCUAAAUAUAAUGUAUCUGAUUUCCCAUCAUACAUACUAAUCAGGUUUGAAAGUUGUCUUGUGAGGCUUUAAAAAGCUAGCCAAGAGCAGUGCGAUUUCUCCGAAAGGAUGUCUGCAAUCAAGAUGAUUACAUGGGAAAAUAAAUCAUAAUGUAUAUUGCCGAAAAUGUCAUUUGCAAAAACACUCUGACAAUACUUUCCUUUCAGUCUAUUUUCCUGUGAAUGGGGUAAGUGCUGCCCUUCCGAAACUUUCCUUUUAUUUUCUUUAUUUAUUUAUUUAUUUUUAAUGCUCCAAAGAUGAGUGAAGCAAUCGCAGCUUUCGGGCGACACGGGGUGGUGCGGGAACACAGCCGACAAGCAUUAAAGCCCAAAAAAUGACAGAUCCCAGUGUAGAGGGGAGAGGUCAGAGGUGACUCUGUGUUUAGGAUACCGGUGUGCGCAUGUGUGAACGUAUACGCAUGUGUGUGUGCGCACAUGUCCACACAAGCACUUUUUUUGUUUUCAUCGAAGGAAAACGUACAGCCUUAGAGAAGCCAAAAACCUUUCAGGGAGCCAUUUCUCUUCUGCCCACCUGCCUUGGGGUUCAACGACAGUACAGUUACCCAAGAGAAUUGAUUAGUUACCUGAUUCAAAUAAUAUCCCCUGGAAUUGGGAACUAUCUCUGAGUGCGUCCUGGCCGACAGAUAGUAAGGUCUCAGCUGCCGACAGUUAGUACCUGUGGUGGGUGAUAAAAAACAGCCACAGUUCUCUCCCCGCCCCCCAGCCCUGAGUCGCAUCUGUGCCCUGCCCCUGUGAUGACUUCAUCUCCCUUCAAAGGCGGAGCCAGCUUCUUCACCCCCUGAAUCAGCAGGCUCCAUGGAACCUGGCCCAGCCCUGGGGCUCUCGUAAGCAUGAAGCAAGCAGAGGCUUGGGCAGUCCUUCUGCACCGGUGCGUGCUUUCUUGCUGCUCUCAGAAGCCUGCCACUUCAGGGAGAACGCAAGCACAGGCUCGCCUGCUGGGUGGCGAGAGACCCAGAGUCCGCCAAGCCCUGGGGCAGCAUCACCUGGCUGACAGUGGACACCUGUCCCGUGGAGUGCAGCCUGCAUUGCUGACUCAGCAGAUCCAGGGCUGAAGCUCAGUAGCUGUUGCUUUCAGGCACCCCUUUGGGUGUAUGCUUUGUUUGCACAGUACAUCUAAACAGGGACGCUACCUCUGAGCCUAACUCUUCACAAGCCUUUGUCAAGCUAGAGGAGCAGUAGUUUGUCCUCUUCCUCUGGUGUCAGGGGUGGGUGAGUGAAUACCUGCUGAUGCCCCGGCAUGAGUGCUUUCUGUCUCAGGAAGCAUGGGCAGUCCAUGGAGGAAGUUCCAUGCUCGGCGGACAGUGAGGGAAUUGAGAAUCAUUGUAACUCUUGUCCAUCCCUCACAAGGGUGAGAUAAUCAAUCAGGUGCAAGGGGAGGCAUCGGAGAGGGUGUUAACACAGAGAAGGCUCAAGGGAGGCCUUCCUCUGAGUCCCUGUGACACAAUAAAGGUAUCCUUAUCCCAAGGAUCUAGUUUCUUUUAAAUCUCAGAUACAUAUUGUGUAGUGCUUCCUUUUUUUGCCCUGGCCACCAGGGAGCUUGAAGCCAAAUUUGUAGCCUACAUCUCAUCUUCAGCAAAGUCAUAGGACCUCUCUGGAAACUAACUUCUCCUGACUUCAUCUUAGUAUUCGGCUUCCUCUCACCUGAUUUCUUCCUGUUUUCCUUGUUUCUCUUUAUGCUCACUUCUCCUUCCUUUUUCACCUUUUCCUUAUUUCAUAUGUUAGUAUGUAUUCAUGCAUAACAUCUCAAGUCUCCCUUCCUUCUUAACAAGGCAGGUAGAGAGAAGAACGAAACAAAACCCCAACACUGGACACACCGUAAAAGUGUCCAAGCUCUAGAGUGGAGAGGAGAGUACAGGCUUGCCAUUCUUCGGCAGCCGCACAGCAGUGGAGACAUCAGAGCCUCCGGAGUCAGUGGUUCUGGGUUUGAAUUCUGACCCUAUCACUGUAUUAGUUUCCUCUUGCUGCUGUAACACAAGACCACCAACUUAGUGGCUUAAGACAAUACAUGUUUACUGUCUUAUAAUUCCAGUGGCCACAAGGGCAGAACUACCGGGCCCAGGUGUCACCAGGGCUGAUUCCUUCUGGGGGCUCCAGAGGAGAAUCCAUUUCUCUGUUCUUGGUGGCUCCUAGAGGCCACCUACUCUCCUUGGCUCCUGGGGCCUCCUCCAUCUUCCAAGCCAGCAGGGUCACAUCAUCUUGCCUCCGUCACUGACUCUUUUCCCGGUUGAACACUCCAGCCUCGUUCUUACAAGGACCUUUGUGAUGACACUGGGCCCUCCUGGAUAGUCCAGGGCAGGCUCCCAUCUCAACACCCUUCACUCAGUCACAUCUGCCCAGUCCCUCUGGCCAGGUGAGGUGACAUACUCACAGAGUCUGGGGCUUGCCAUCAACCUCUUUUGCGGGGGGGAUUAUUAGUCCCACCACAGCCACUCGUCCUGGGCCUCCGUUUCCCUCGUCGGUCCUAGGGAUGGUGAGGUCGUAGGGAUGAUGAGGUCCUAUGAGCUCCUUGGGGAAGUAGGCACACCUCAGGGUGUCACAGAGAGAUGGCAGUCUCCCUACAGCGCUGUCGCGGGACCCCUCCUUCAGGACCAAACUGUAGGUGAGACACUCGCAUUUCCCAGCCACCCAGCUUUCCUGGAACAUGCAUUUUGAAACAGGCUGUUGUCUUGUUCUCCUCGGGCUUCGGUGACAAGGUGCCACAGGGCGGGGCUUAGCCAUCAGCUGGUGGUGCUUUCUUACUGCCGGGAGGCGGGGCCGUGCAGGAUCAGGCUGCUGGCAGACUCUCUCCCUGGUGCGAGGCCGCCUCCGUGUUCUGCCCUCUGGUGGGGAGGGUUCUGGCCUCUUCUCCUUAGGGCUUGGGUCCCCUCAGUGGCCCCAGCCGCGCGCCCCCCCGCAACCCCCUGUGAACCUAGUUACCUCCCAGAGGCCCCUCCACGGCUCUCCCCACGUGGGGAGAACGUGUCAGACCUGGGAGAGCCGUGUGGCUUUGUCAGCUCUGUGCUGACCAGCAGCCUUGUCUGGGGCUGUGACAUCUCCUCCCCAGGCUUCUGUGACCUUGCCUGUAACAUGUGGGGCCAAAGAACAGCCCAGCACAGGACAGUCUGAGGACCAGGGGAAGCUGCCUGUGCCAAGGCGCCCGUCACAAGGCAGCUGCGAGUGGUGGGCGCCCAAGGCCUCCGCCUCCCAACUCGGGCCCCUUCCCUCCAGUGGGCAGUGCCUCUUGGCAUGCGGGUGCCGCGGCUGAUAGUGCACUUGGCUAACCGGGGAUGUUCAUAGCACUCGAGUGGGUUUUUCUUCCUGCUCCUAGAAUUCCAGCCGUAAAGGUAGAGCUGGACAAGUGAGUACCAGUGACAGAUGAGGAAUGUGCCAGUGGCACCUGUGGCAUAUGGGAGUUCUUGGGGGCUUGGGUUGAAUCGGAGCUGAAGCUGCUGGCCUACACCACAGCCACAGCAACACCAGAUCCUUAACCCACUGAGCAAGGCCAGGGAUCGAACCCACAUCUCAGACAGUAUGUCUGGUUCUUAACCUGAUGGGUCACAACGGGAACUCCCCAGUGGCUUUUUUAUGCUGUAAUCUGUUCCUCAUCUUAGGGGGGCACAAUUGUCUUCAGUUUUGGUUGAGCAAACGGAAGAUCAGAGGGGGUUUGUCUCUGAACAGCAGAGGUAGGAUCAGCACUGGUGACAGUCAGAUUGGCUUUGAAAAUCAUAGCACCUACCAGAGUUACCAGGAGAGCUCCUGUGUACUAUGGGCCUUCAGGCUCUGGGCUGAGUUUACUUUCAUUGCCUGUUUCUCCCACCUGAGAGGUAGUAAGCUCAGAGCUCCAGUUUCAGAUUAGGAAACUGAGGCUCAGGGAGGCCCUGGGACCAUCGCAAGCCCGACCUCCAUGAGGCAGCAGCGAGAUUUGAGGCCACCGUCUCCUGACUCCUUUGCAGAGGAUGUGCCAGCACCCAGAACCUCUUCUGUGCCCACAGCCAAGAGGUGGGGUUUGUUCUGCGCUCCAUGUCCCCAGGCACAGCCCUGCUCCCCACCACCCUGACUGAUGUAUAUUUAAACGGUGGCCUUUGCUGCAAAAGUGGGGUGAGGGAGAACCAACCAGGGCUCCCUGCAGACCGAGGAACCUUCCAGGCAGCCAAGGCCUUCUCUGUGGCUGAGUCAGGGAAGGAGCAGCUAAAGGCUUGGCGGAGCCUCCCUCCUGCAGGGGGGAUUGUCAGGGGCCCGUUACCAGGCUGAGUGACAGAGCGAGGCCGCCCGAGGCUCAUCCCGUGUCUAAUGGGACAGAAAGGAGCUCCCACCGCCCUUGUUUUCCAGCGGCUUGUCCCGGGCCCUGCGAGGUUUACUCAUCUUGGAGUUUAAUGGCAUCUUAAUCCCGGCACCGAUCACUGCGCGGCGGAUUGAAGGCGGCAGGAGCCUCUGUCUCAUUUACAAGCCGCACUCGGGAGAGACACUUAGGGUGCGAGCCUGCCCACGCAGAAUUGGCAAGCGUGUCUCCAUGCUUGGGCCCUGAUGGUGCUGAGAAACGCCACUUUAACCCUUAAAAUCUGUCCUUUGGAAACCUCUUCUGAAGAACGUUGUGGAUGAUAACUGCUUGGAGCAGGGCUGUCGUUUUAGAAAAUGUAUGAGAUACAGGAUGACGAUGAGGAAGAGAA
RNAcentral lists this long non-coding RNA (7743 nucleotides) under Sus scrofa (pig). RNAcentral describes it as "lncRNA (ENSSSCG00015029501.1)". Lineage: Eukaryota; Metazoa; Chordata; Mammalia; Artiodactyla; Suidae. The record is from RNAcentral.